RNAcentral lists this transfer-messenger RNA (393 nucleotides) under bovine gut metagenome. It matches the Rfam family "transfer-messenger RNA". Rfam says of the family: Bacterial tmRNA, also known as 10Sa RNA or SsrA, is named for its dual tRNA and mRNA-like properties. The record is from RNAcentral.
GGGGGCGUUUUGGUCUCGACAGGCGAAAUUCGUAUUUUCUAUCAUGCAUACCGUAGGCUCGUCUACGUUAAAACGGAAGUUAAAUAUAAAUGCUGAAAAUAAUUCAGAAUUAAAAGCUAUGCCUGUUAACUUCGGUGCAGCAUACGCUUACUAAUCGUCUCGUUAUAUUGAGGCAGUUCAAAUUAGUCUUGAUGGCUUUGUGAGAUUCUUUUGGGCUUUAAAAAAACAAUAGCCACACAUUGAUGACCUUUGUAGUUAAUGCGUUUUUGUAAAGGUGACAGAAUUGUAGUUUGCAAAUUUACUUGAUUUUGUUAGUAAGAAGAUUUGAUAUGUAUGUAGAUUGAUAAAAGAUACUUCGUUUGGACAUGGGUUCAACUCCCAUCGCUUCCACCA